This 326-nucleotide ribosomal RNA is filed under the name uncultured bacterium. Its description in RNAcentral is "bacterial SSU rRNA". It matches the Rfam family "Bacterial small subunit ribosomal RNA", at positions 28 to 334 of the family's 1533-position model. The record is from RNAcentral.
GAUGAACGCUGGCGGCGUGCUUAACACAUGCAAGUCGAGCGAAGCGCUAAGACGGAUUUCUUCGGAUUGAAGUCUUUGUGACUGAGCGGGCGUAGGGCGAAGGUACGCUGGUAACGUGCUCAUACAGGGGAUAACAGUUAGUAGAUGACUGCUAAUACCGCAUAAGCGCACAGGACCGCAUGGUCUGGUUGUGAAAAACCUCCGGUGGUAUGAGAUGGACCCGCGUCUGAUUAGCUAGUUGGAGGGGUAACGGCCCACCAAGGCGACGAUCGAGUAGCCGGCUGAGAGGGUGAACCGGCCACAGUUGGGACUGAGACACGGCCCAG